AGCGGCAKCUAUACAUGCAGUCGAGCGGACAGAAGGGAGCUUGCUCCCGGAUGUUAGCGGCGGACGGGUGAGUAACACGUGGGUAACCUGCCUGUAAGACUGGGAUAACUCCGGGAAACCGGAGCUAAUACCGGAUAGUUCCUUGAACCGCAUGGUUCAAGGAUGAAAGACGGUUUCGGCUGUCACUUACAGAUGGACCCGCGGCGCAUUAGCUAGUUGGUGGGGUAAUGGCUCACCAAGGCGACGAUGCGUAGCCGACCUGAGAGGGUGAUCGGCCACACUGGGACUGAGACACGGCCCAGACUCCUACGGGAGGCAGCAGUAGGGAAUCUUCCGCAAUGGACGAAAGUCUGACGGAGCAACGCCGCGUGAGUGAUGAAGGUUUUCGGAUCGUAAAGCUCUGUUGUUAGGGAAGAACAAGUGCGAGAGUAACUGCUCGCACCUUGACGGUACCUAACCAGAAAGCCACGGCUAACUACGUGCCAGCAGCCGCGGUAAUACGUAGGUGGCAAGCGUUGUCCGGAAUUAUUGGGCGUAAAGGGCUCGCAGGCGGUUUCUUAAGUCUGAUGUGAAAGCCCCCGGCUCAACCGGGGAGGGUCAUUGGAAACUGGGAAACUUGAGUGCAGAAGAGGAGAGUGGAAUUCCACGUGUAGCGGUGAAAUGCGUAGAGAUGUGGAGGAACACCAGUGGCGAAGGCGACUCUCUGGUCUGUAACUGACGCUGAGGAGCGAAAGCGUGGGGAGCGAACAGGAUUAGAUACCCUGGUAGUCCACGCCGUAAACGAUGAGUGCUAAGUGUUAGGGGUUCCGCCCCUUAGUGCUGCAGCUAACGCAUUAGCACUCGCUGGGGAGUACGUCGCAGACUGAACUCAAGAUGACGGGGCCGCACAGCGUGGAGCAKKGUUAUCGAGCACSGAGACCUACCAGGUCUUGACUCCUGAACCUUAGGAWGCAUCCUUCGGGUACAGAGKGAC
RNAcentral lists this ribosomal RNA (973 nucleotides) under Bacillus sp. MBIL2.63. RNAcentral's name for it is "bacterial SSU rRNA". It matches the Rfam family "Bacterial small subunit ribosomal RNA", at positions 38 to 1026 of the family's 1533-position model. Lineage: Bacteria; Bacillati; Bacillota; Bacilli; Caryophanales; Bacillaceae. The record is from RNAcentral.